RNAcentral lists this long non-coding RNA (1546 nucleotides) under Triticum aestivum (bread wheat). Its description in RNAcentral is "long non-coding RNA (TAES_LNC025504)". The record is from RNAcentral. Lineage: Eukaryota; Viridiplantae; Streptophyta; Magnoliopsida; Poales; Poaceae.
UCCUUGAGCCCACUUUUGGGGAUCCAUCGUGAAAUGUCGCCCUAGUAUUCAGCUUUUAGGUUUCUUAUUUUUUCUCUUAUUUUAUCCUUGAUCCUUUGGAUCAACCCUUGUUUUGUCUGCUCCAUGCUUGAUACGGAAUCGAAGCCAGCGAUUGCUGGAUCUUUCAAAAAUAAUAAUAUUAUACCCCAGAUUAGUUUAGAGGAGAUCACUUGCGUGACUGCACAAAUUACUAGGCAAAAUACAAGGCGGCAAGAUAUUUGACUUAGCUAUUGAUUACUGCGAGUGAAUUAAGAAUUUCCUUGCCACCAAUAGUGGAAAGAUCAGAAGGAGUAAUUUAAACAGCAAGUCAAGGGUGACGCAGGACACACGUUGCACUUACCCCCUCCCACAGACAUAAGAAGUUUAGCCGACUUCUUUUUGUCUCUUCUUUUGCGACGAAAAUUUUAGCGAGACCUUCUCAGGGUGAUCAAUCAAUCAGGCCCCAAUAUUCCAUUCAGCAAGUGAUGACAAGCAGGGCCAAGAAAAAUUCUGCAGUAUGAUAUCAGCAAUGUGGAGCUGCUUUCACCUUUCUCAAGACCCUGCAGUCACCGGUGGUGGUUAGCGUCGGCAAGUUGCAAAUGGACAUCUGAAUUCCUAAGCAACCAUCGACUUCAGAGGCAGCAGGAGACAAGGACGAUUUCAGCACAGGCGUACUACUAGCUUUAUUCCAUCCAAUUGAAUAGAAAACAUCAGAUUACACAAAACUUGUCCAAUAGAAACAUUCAAGAUUCCCUCGCCCUUCUUUUUCCUCCCCUACAUUAUAGACAUAAAAGGUUAUUCAUAAAGGGCCAGCACUACGCCGAGAAGUGCUGAAAAAUGUGUGGGGGGUGUGAGGGUGCAACAACCAUCUGCUAUGCAGAUAUUAUAGUUUAUCGAGGAAUUAACAACGAUGGGUGAGAAAGUUACAGACGGAAAAACAUUAUUGAAAAGGAAAGCAAACCACCAAGGCGCUAUGCUAAUGGCUUUAUGGCCUUCAUCGAAUGGCAGUUGAUAGCUCACACCGAGAUGCCAACAGUAAUACACCUCCCCCCCUCUCCCCUGAAAUAUUUAUUUAUCUGGACUGCAUACCUUAUGUGCUUCCAACUGCAGCACACACAAGUACAGAGGGGUCCUCCUCGAAGAAGCUCAUGAUACCUCCUCUUGCUUAUGCUCGGAUAAAAGGCUCAUGAUGCCUUAGCUUCCAGACUUCGUCUUCCCCGAGGAUCGCAGAGGCGCAGCUAUAGAGGACAGGCUCUGGCGCUGGCAUGCAUCGACACCAAGGAUAAGAUCUACGAGAUGGCCAUGGCUGGUCCAGCUUGCAGAUUUCUCUCGUGUUUUCUGUGUUUUGUAGCAUGUCUUAUCGUUAUGGAGUCUGCUUUGUCUGCCCAUUCAUGGUGCACCCCACAUCCCAACCCGAGGGGAGAAGCGGAGUUUAAGCAGAAGACAGACAAGUUUUGGGAGUACCAGGAGCAGAGCAAUACCUGGGUGGAAAUAAGCAUGCCUUUCAAUCUCAUGUCCUGUAUCAACG